Non-coding RNA from Cajanus cajan (pigeon pea), 495 nucleotides. NCBI's taxonomy places the organism in Eukaryota, Viridiplantae, Streptophyta, Magnoliopsida, Fabales, Fabaceae. The record is from RefSeq and is a predicted model, not a curated record.
GGCACCUCCUUUACCCGCCAGACCUGGUGAGAAUUCUUCAAUGUCUACACCUCCUUGGCGCUACGUGACACGUCAGAAUAUAAAUGUUAGUGGUGAGAAUUCUUCAAUGUCUAGACCUCCUUGGGGCGCUAGGACAGUCUCUAGCUUCUCAUUUUCUUUGCAACACCAGAUCCAAUACAAUAUCUAGCAGAACCCAAAUUAUCGAUACAUGAAUCUGAUCGCAAAGUGCGUGUAGGUGUUACUUGUGAAAUCCAGGGAUGGAAAAUAUGUGUGCUUACAUAUGAGUAGCUAGCCCAACUAUAAUAGAGAGAAAUAUGAUGAGUGAGAACUCUGUGGAUGUUAUUGAUGGAUAUACAAAUACAAUACUAGAUUCCUUAAGGUUAUUGCUCUUUUUGCUUUGUUGUAUUUUAUUUUUCUCUUUUUUUUAAAUAUAUUUUUUACAUUUUAUACUCUUUUUAUCUUCAUUAUAAGUCAUAAGUUAGAGGAAAAAUAAUA